CUUUGCUGUCUUCCACAGCUUUCUUGAACUGCAUCUGCAAUUGGUGGAUGCUAGCUUCUGCUCGCAAGAUCUGCAGUUCAAUAAAGCUGUGGGAAAUUGCAGAGAG
Molecule: microRNA precursor, 106 nt
Filed under: Aegilops tauschii
Lineage: Eukaryota; Viridiplantae; Streptophyta; Magnoliopsida; Poales; Poaceae
Description: miR396e stem-loop (ata-MIR396e)
Gene: ata-MIR396e
Rfam family: MIR396 microRNA precursor family
Source: miRBase by way of RNAcentral